This 252-nucleotide ribosomal RNA is filed under the name uncultured bacterium. RNAcentral describes it as "partial 16S ribosomal RNA". It matches the Rfam family "Bacterial small subunit ribosomal RNA", at positions 524 to 776 of the family's 1533-position model. The record is from RNAcentral.
UACGUAGGUCCCGAGCGUUGUCCGGAUUUAUUGGGCGUAAAGCGAGCGCAGGUGGUUUAUUAAGUCUGGUGUAAAAGGCAGUGGCUCAACCAUUGUAUGCAUUGGAAACUGGUAGACUUGAGUGCAGGGGAGGAGAGUGGAAUUCCAUGUGUAGCGGUGAAAUGCGUAGAUAUAUGGAGGAACACCGGUGGCGAAAGCGGCUCUCUGGCCUGUAACUGACACUGAGGCUCGAAAGCGUGAGGAGCAAACAGG